GUGCUCGCCUGGGCAGCACAUAUAUUAAAGUUGGAACGAUACAGAAAAGAUUAGCAUGGUCCCUGCGUGAGGAUGACACGCAAAUGCUUGAAGUGCUCCAUAUUUUU
Molecule: small nuclear RNA, 107 nt
Organism: Loxodonta africana (African savanna elephant)
Lineage: Eukaryota; Metazoa; Chordata; Mammalia; Proboscidea; Elephantidae
Source: Ensembl